This 171-nucleotide non-coding RNA is filed under the name Clostridium sp. ASBs410. Lineage: Bacteria; Bacillati; Bacillota; Clostridia; Eubacteriales; Clostridiaceae. The record is from RNAcentral.
UCCAUCGUGAGGUGGAAUCUAGAGGAAGGUGGAGGCAAAUCUCUGGUCUGACGAACAGAAAUCACAUCAGGCUAUGGUUAAGGAUAAGGCUGCUACACAAGCUGAAAUCCAAUAAUCACCCGGAAUUAACCAUAGUAAAUGUGGCAGAUAGAUGGAGAGAAAGAGCGUGCG